UGCUCACCUGGCAAUGAGCAAAGAGACACCUUGUUGGUGGUGCUGUUCUCCUAUCAGACAGGGGCAGAGAAAAUGGCAGUUCUUUGUUCAUCCGAGUUUGAUGCCUGGCAUGGUGGCCAAAACUGUCUUAUGCCUAGAACUCAUAA
Molecule: small nucleolar RNA, 146 nt
Organism: Acomys russatus (golden spiny mouse)
Lineage: Eukaryota; Metazoa; Chordata; Mammalia; Rodentia; Muridae
Product: small nucleolar RNA SNORA48
Exons: 1
Source: RefSeq, a predicted model, not a curated record